This is an RNA transcript of Zonotrichia albicollis (white-throated sparrow), 1415 nucleotides long. It is a transcript of the gene named electron transfer flavoprotein regulatory factor 1, with no coding region annotated. The record is from RefSeq and is a predicted model, not a curated record. Lineage: Eukaryota; Metazoa; Chordata; Aves; Passeriformes; Passerellidae.
CAGCCACGGCGGCGGCGCAUGCGCAGCUGGGGCCGGGCGCUCCCGGCGCUGCCGUAAAGCGGCACGGCGGCGGUUCCGGGAGCAGCGGGUAACAAAACCCAAACAAACCAAAAAAAUCACACAAGGACACAGUUCACUGAAAUGUGAGAAUGGCCAGUUCUUUAAGAAGUGAAGUGAUAAAACUGUACAAAAAUCUGCUGUACCUUGGAAGGGAGUAUCCCAAAGGAGCAGACUACUUCAGAAGCCGGUUGAAAGCAGCUUUUCUAAAAAACAAAGAUGAGACAGACCCAGAAAAAAUUAAGCAGCUGAUUGCCCGGGGAGAGUUUGUUAUAAAGGAGCUGGAGGCUUUGUACUUCCUGAGGAAAUACCGAGCCAUGAAGCAGCGCUACUACAGCGACGACAAGCCCUGACUGUGCCUGUAACCACACACACCCAGCAAAGGUAACAAUAAAAGAGCUCUAACUGCAAAGAAGUGACAUGUAAAUCCUUCCAACCCCUCUACAGCACAAAUGAGGGAGCUGCUUCCCUGCCAGGGGUCACUUGAAGGGUUUGGGGUGUGCAGGUUAUGGGCAAUAGGUUUUCCUGUGCUGCUUUUGACCUCCUCAAACUAAAACUUAAGGUAUGAAAGGAUUUUGCAGGAAGGAGUGGUUGCACUGCCCUGUUUUGUUUCACUUCAAUGCUUGUGUUGGACAGAAACUCUUCUUACCCCAUAGCUGUGUGUUUGGGUGUCAGUUCAAGGUGCUAUGCUUGUUACCUGAAAGAUGAACCUGAUUUAAAAUCCUCCACAUUGAACAAUCUGAUUCUGCUGGAAAUGAGCACCCUCUCAGAAGUGAGACUCCCAGCCCUGGAGAGGGAGUGCUGUGUUCAGUUCUGGUCUCCACAGCGCAGGAAAGACAAGGAGCUCCUGGAGAGGAUCAAGCAGAGGCCAUAAACAUGAGGGGUCUGGAGCAUCUCUUAUGAGGGACUGCAGGAGCUGGGCCUGUUUAGUCCGGGGAAGAGAAGAUUCAGAGGGGAUCUCAUCAAUGCAUACAAAUAUCUCAAGGGUGGGUGCCAAGAGGACGGUGCCAGGCUCCCCUCAGUGGUGUCCAGCAACAGGACAAGGAGCAAUGGCCAUAAACAUAAAGCAAGGAGUUCCACCUCAUGAGGAAGAAUUUCUGUACACUGAGGGUGGCAGAGCCCUGAACAGUUGUCCAGGGAGGGCGUGGAGUCUCCUUCUCUGUGGACAUCCCAAACUCACCUGGACUUGUUCCUGUGUCACCUGCUCCAGGUGACCCUGCCUGGGCAGAGGGGUCGGAUUAAAUGGUCUGCAGAGGUCCCUUCCAACCCUGACUAUUCUGUGAAAGCAUUGCUAGUUCAAGAACCAACAGUCAAAGAAUACUGGCACUUUAAGAGGAAUGAAGUUUCCACUGUCAUUU